This 2893-nucleotide ribosomal RNA is filed under the name Formivibrio citricus. RNAcentral describes it as "bacterial LSU rRNA". It matches the Rfam family "Bacterial large subunit ribosomal RNA". The record is from RNAcentral. Lineage: Bacteria; Pseudomonadati; Pseudomonadota; Betaproteobacteria; Neisseriales; Chitinibacteraceae.
AUAGGAUCAAGCGAAUAAGUGCAUCUGGUGGAUGCCUUGGCGAUGAUAGGCGACGAAGGACGUGAAAGCCUGCGAAAAGCGUGGGGGAGUUGGCAACCAAGCAUUGAUCCCACGAUGUCCGAAUGGGGAAACCCACCCUUUUAGGGUAUCCAUGACUGAAUACAUAGGUCAUGCGAAGCGAACCGGGAGAACUGAAACAUCUAAGUACCCCGAGGAAAAGAAAUCAACCGAGAUUCCCAAAGUAGUGGCGAGCGAAAUGGGAAGAGCCUGUGUGUGAUAGCAGAAGACUUAACAGAACGGAAUGGAAAGUCCGGCCAUAGUGGGUGAUAGCCCCGUAUGUGAAAAGUCAUUUGUGGUACUAAGCACACGACAAGUAGGGCGGGACACGAGAAAUCCUGUCUGAAGAUGGGGGGACCAUCCUCCAAGGCUAAAUACUCAUCAUCGACCGAUAGUGAACCAGUACCGUGAGGGAAAGGCGAAAAGAACCCCGGGAGGGGAGUGAAAUAGAACCUGAAACCGGAUGCAUACAAACAGUGGGAGCCUCCUAGUGGGGUGACUGCGUACCUUUUGUAUAAUGGGUCAGCGACUUACGUUCAGUAGCGAGCUUAACCGAGUAGGGGAGGCGUAGGGAAACCGAGUCCGAAUAGGGCGUUGAGUUGCUGGGCGUAGACCCGAAACCAAGUGAUCUAUCCAUGGCCAGGAUGAAGGUGCCGUAACAGGUACUGGAGGUCCGAACCCACUAGUGUUGCAAAACUAGGGGAUGAGCUGUGGAUAGGGGUGAAAGGCUAAACAAACUUGGAAAUAGCUGGUUCUCUCCGAAAACUAUUUAGGUAGUGCCUCACGUAUCACCUUCGGGGGUAGAGCACUGUUAUGGCUAGGGGGUCAUCGCGACUUACCAAACCAUGGCAAACUCCGAAUACCGAAGAGUGCGAGCGUGGGAGACAGACAUGGGGUGCUAACGUCCUGUGUCAAGAGGGAAACAACCCAGACCGCCGUCUAAGGUCCCAAAUGCAUAGUUAAGUGGAAAACGAGGUGGGAAGGCACAGACAGCCAGGAUGUUGGCUUAGAAGCAGCCAUCAUUUAAAGAAAGCGUAAUAGCUCACUGGUCGAGUCGUCCUGCGCGGAAGAUGUAACGGGGCUCAAACUAUGAACCGAAGACGCGGAUAUAUGCUUUGCAUAUAUGGUAGGAGAGCGUUCCGUAGGUCUGUGAAGGUGUCUUGUAAAGGAUGCUGGAGAUAUCGGAAGUGCGAAUGCUGACAUGAGUAGCGAUAAAGCGGGUGAAAAGCCCGCUCGCCGAAAGCCCAAGGUUUCCUGCGCAACGUUCAUCGGCGCAGGGUGAGUCGGCCCCUAAGGCGAGGCUGAAAAGCGUAGUCGAUGGGAAACAGGUUAAUAUUCCUGUACUUGGUGUAAGUGCGAUGUGGGGACGGAGAAGGUUAGGUUAGCCAUCUGUUGGAAUAGGUGGUUUAAGCGUGUAGGCGGGAGGUUUAGGCAAAUCCGGAUCUCCUUAACGCUGAGGCGUGAUGACGAAGUCUCCUAGAGACUGAAGUAACUGAUACCCUGCUUCCAGGAAAAGCCACUAAGCUUCAGCUUACAUUGAACCGUACCGCAAACCGACACAGGUGGGCAGGAUGAGAAUUCUAAGGCGCUUGAGAGAACUCGGGAGAAGGAACUCGGCAAAUUGACACCGUAACUUCGGGAGAAGGUGUGCCCAGAGUAGGUGAAGUCCCUGCGGACUGAGCCCAAAUGGGUCGCAGAGAAAUGGGGGCUGCGACUGUUUAUCAAAAACACAGCACUCUGCCAAGACGAAAGUCGACGUAUAGGGUGUGACGCCUGCCCGGUGCUGGAAGAUUAAAUGAUGGGGUGCAAGCUCUUGAUUGAAGUCCCAGUAAACGGCGGCCGUAACUAUAACGGUCCUAAGGUAGCGAAAUUCCUUGUCGGGUAAGUUCCGACCCGCACGAAUGGCGUAACGAUGGCCCCACUGUCUCCUCCCGAGACUCAGCGAAGUUGAAGUGUUUGUGAAGAUGCAAUCUCCCCGCUGCUAGACGGAAAGACCCCGUGAACCUUUACUGUAGCUUUGCAUUGGACUUUGAACAGACUUGUGUAGGAUAGGUGGGAGGCUAUGAAGCGGUGACGCUAGUCAUCGUGGAGCCGUCCUUGAAAUACCACCCUGGUGUGUUUGGGGUUCUAACCUUGGUCCGUCAUCCGGAUCGGGGACCGUGCAUGGUAGGCAGUUUGACUGGGGCGGUCUCCUCCCAAAGUGUAACGGAGGAGCUCGAAGGUUACCUAGGUACGGUCGGACAUCGUACUGAUAGUGUAAUGGCACAAGGUAGCUUGACUGCGAGACUGACACGUCGAGCAGGUGCGAAAGCAGGACAUAGUGAUCCGGUGGUUCUGAAUGGAAGGGCCAUCGCUCAACGGAUAAAAGGUACUCCGGGGAUAACAGGCUGAUUCCGCCCAAGAGUUCACAUCGACGGCGGAGUUUGGCACCUCGAUGUCGGCUCAUCACAUCCUGGGGCUGUAGCCGGUCCCAAGGGUAUGGCUGUUCGCCAUUUAAAGUGGUACGUGAGCUGGGUUCAAAACGUCGUGAGACAGUUUGGUCCCUAUCUGCAGUGGGCGUUGGAAAUUUGAGGGGGGCUGCUCCUAGUACGAGAGGACCGGAGUGGACGCACCUCUGGUGUACCGGUUAUCACGCCAGUGGUAUCGCCGGGUAGCUAAGUGCGGAAGAGAUAACCGCUGAAAGCAUCUAAGCGGGAAACUUGCCUCAAGAUGAGAUUUCCCUGGGACUUCAAGUCCCCUGAAGGGUCGUUCGAGACCAGGACGUUGAUAGGUCGGGUGUGGAAGCGCAGUAAUGCGUUAAGCUAACCGAUACUAAUUGCCCGUGCGGCUUGAUCCU